AAUAACAAUUUAGAUAUACUCUGGUAUGACGAAAACUUUUUCAACCUCCCGACUGCAAACAAGAAAACGCUUUUUUGACUGGCCUAAGUCAUCGGCUGGCUUCUUCGUAAAUGAACAAAGGAGUUUUAAGUUGCCUUAAUUCGAUUUCGGUACAUAAUUUAUACUUGUUUACUCCUUUGUUAUUUUACAAAGCAGCAAGUUAAAAAACGUUUUAUGUGUACUCAUGGUACAAAAAUACAGCCCUGAGGCUAUGCCCGCUUCCUGUCGGACUCAUUCAAAAUUAUUGUUCUCAUUUUUUUUUUUCAUAUUUUUCCUCAUUUUUAAAAUGAGUUAAAUUGCGCGAAAAAUUAAUAAAAUGUCUGGAUUUUUCUCUCAAAAAUAUGAUCCUAACUGUUCAAUCUUUCAAUUUCAUGGCUAUACUGGUUAAUAGCUUUAAAGCGCGAGCCGCAAUUCAUGUGUCUUCCAGUCAUUGGUUUUUGAAAAUAUAUUUUUUUUUCAUUUUUCAAAACAAUUAAUACAUACACAAAAUUGGCACACAUUUAGAAAAAAAUUGUAAUCAGCUGUUAAUCACAAGGAGAGCGGUUGGAGAGAAACAUUUUGACAGUUCUUUCAGUGAGAGUUUGCAAAUUCUUGCUGGACAAAUUUCUUCCUGCAAACACUUGCAACCAGUGUGACCGGAUCUAAAAUAGUGUUGAAGCUAAAAUCCCAUGAAAAUAAUGCUAAAGAAUGCCAAACAAAAAAAUUAAAAUGCCAAAAAAUAAUGCUAAAUAUAAAUAUAUUUUUAAAUCCUGCAGUACUAUGUGUUGGGGGUCUUAUAAGUUUGAUAGGGCCAAAAAUUAUGUAACACUUCGAAAUUUCGGCUUCCCACAUAGAAAAGUAUAUAUUGAUCUUCCAAUCUCGCUGAACUAAGCCGAUUUGUCGCAUGGGAUAUUUUCAUUUUGACUUACAAUAUUGAAUUUUACAUUUUGUAAUAUUUUUACUUCUUACAACACUAUAUAGUUAGGAUAUUAUAUACAGGGCACAUUUAAAGCAUUUUAAUAUCCAAAAAUAAAUUGUUGAGUUUGUGUUUGCCCAUUCAUAUGUAAUAAGUUUUUGUCAUUGCUUAAUAAAAUAGUAAUUUCGUUUAAAAUCUUCAUUUAAUAGAUUUAAGAAAAAUUGGAUUUAUAAGAAGUACUAAAAUAUUAGAAAAUUUUUGGACAAAAAAAAAACGCUAAACUAAAAAUUUCGAAAAGCUAAGAAAAAUGCCAAAUGAAAAUUUUGCUGCUAAAUACAAAAAAUAAAUGCUAAAUUUACCUGCAAAAAUGCUAAAAUGGCCACACUUGCCAUUCAUCGACAUUUAACCAGAUGUUUUCUAUUGAUUUUUUCUUUUUUGGAAUUAGCAAGACUAUUUGCUUUUGGAGAACAACUUUACAAAAUAUGAAAAACACAAACGUCAUUAGCAACACGUUUAAAGGAUUCCGGGGAACUCAUCAAAUCUAUCUUUCUUUUAUUGUUCAUAUUUUAAUUUCGUGUUAAUUUCCUUUUUAAUUAUAAAACUUGUAAAAUUGGUGGUGCUUCCUUUCUUUUAAUUCUUUGAAUGGUGGACAAAUUGACUUGUUUUGACUAAUCAGCUGAUUAGUUGCUGGAAUACCGUCUGUUUACUUUUCGCAUUUUCCUUGCAAAAGAGUAUAAAACUACCUUACUCUCUCAGAAAGAUAUUGCUGGACAAUUCCUGCAGGAAAAGUAACCAGAUCCGUUCUUUCAUCUCACCCUGUAUAUUGCUUUUAUUUAGUUGGCUCGAAUAAAACCCGGAUUUUGUAUCGGAACUUUCGGUCGAUCCUUUCAGGUCAAACCAAGCACAGCAAUUUAACUUAAGCCAAUUAUGAACCUUUAAAUACAAUGUAGGCCACAAUAGCGCUGAAUGUGAGGCUGAAAUCGUCAAAAGAUGUAGGGAGUGAGGUGCCAUUGUCAAUACAAAAACAUGGACUGAAAUAAAAAUGCAAAUAUGUGCAAA
Long non-coding RNA from Musca domestica (house fly), 1993 nucleotides. RefSeq lists it as uncharacterized. Lineage: Eukaryota; Metazoa; Arthropoda; Insecta; Diptera; Muscidae. The record is from RefSeq and is a predicted model, not a curated record. The transcript has 2 exons.